RNAcentral lists this ribosomal RNA (465 nucleotides) under uncultured bacterium. RNAcentral describes it as "SSU rRNA". It matches the Rfam family "Bacterial small subunit ribosomal RNA", at positions 26 to 518 of the family's 1533-position model. The record is from RNAcentral.
AGAAUCAACGCUGGCGGCGUGCCUAACACAUGCAAGUCGAACGAGAAAGUGGAGUAAUCCAUGAGUAAAGUGGCGCACGGGUGAGUAACACGUGACUAACCUACCCUUGAGUGGGGGAUAACCUAGGGAAACCUGGGCUAAUACCGCAUAAUACCUUCGGGUCAAAGGAGCAAUUCGCUUAAGGAGGGGGUCGCGGCCGAUUAGUUAGUUGGCGGGGUAAUGGCCCACCAAGACUGUGAUCGGUAUCCGGCCUGAGAGGGCGCGACGGAACGACGACUAGGAACUGAAACACGGUCCAGACUCCUACGGGAGGCAGCAGUGGGGAAUUUUGCGCAAUGGGGGAAACCCUGACGCAGCAACGCCGCGUGGAGGAUGAAGUCCCUUGGGACGUAAACUCCUUUCGAUCGGGACGAUAAUGACGGUACCGAGAGAAGAAGCCCCGGCUAACUUCGUGCCAGCAGCCGC